UACGUAGGGUGCAAGCGUUGUCCGGAAUUAUUGGGCGUAAAGAGCUCGUAGGCGGUUUGUCGCGUCUGCUGUGAAAACCCGAGGCUCAACCUCGGGCCUGCAGUGGGUACGGGCAGACUAGAGUGCGGUAGGGGAGAUUGGAAUUCCUGGUGUAGCGGUGGAAUGCGCAGAUAUCAGGAGGAACACCGAUGGCGAAGGCAGGUCACUGGGCCGCAACUGACGCUGAGGGGCGAAAGCAUGGGGAGCGAACAGG
Molecule: ribosomal RNA, 253 nt
Filed under: uncultured bacterium
Lineage: Bacteria
Description: partial 16S ribosomal RNA
Rfam family: Bacterial small subunit ribosomal RNA
Source: RNAcentral